This 277-nucleotide ribosomal RNA is filed under the name uncultured bacterium. Its description in RNAcentral is "partial 16S ribosomal RNA". It matches the Rfam family "Bacterial small subunit ribosomal RNA", at positions 28 to 308 of the family's 1533-position model. The record is from RNAcentral.
GACGAACGCUGGCGGCGUGCUUAACACAUGCAAGUCGAGCGGAAAGGCCCUUCGGGGUACUCGAGCGGCGAACGGGUGAGUAACACGUGAGCAACCUGCCCCUGGCUCUGGGAUAGCCUCCGGAAACGGGGAUUAAUACCGGACAUUCACUCUUCUGGGCAUCCUAGAGGGUGGAAAGUUUUUUCGGCCAGGGAGGGGCUCGCGGCCUAUCAGCUUGUUGGCGGGGUAACGGCCCACCAAGGCGACGACGGGUAGCCGGCCUGAGAGGGCGACCGGC